Long non-coding RNA from Triplophysa rosa, 1869 nucleotides. RefSeq lists it as uncharacterized. Lineage: Eukaryota; Metazoa; Chordata; Actinopteri; Cypriniformes; Nemacheilidae. The transcript has 4 exons. The record is from RefSeq and is a predicted model, not a curated record.
GUGAAAGUGCCUCACAUCUUCAUACUGGGAUUAAGAUCGGAGGGGAAAUAAAUAAAUACAACAUAUAAAUAGAGCAGUAUUUCAGUCAGAGCUUAUCUCUCUUCACUCGCUCUAGGCAGGGAACUGUAGAAUUUUUUUGCGAGAUUCAUACAUUCAGCCCAGCAGCUUUUAAAGAUUUCAGGUGAAGUGAAUCAGCCAGACGAGAUGUCGCUGCAGAAACUGGAAGAGAUUAAUGAUGAACUUCAGCAAAGCAUUAAGGGACUGAACUCAGAAUUCAACAAAAACCAUCUAACUCUCAUUAGUAAAAUAAAGGAGCUAAAAGACGUCACCAAGGAACUUGAAGACAUGCACAAAAGCACUACAACGGGCAGUUUGGUCGGAUCAUCAAUUGGAGUGGCUGGAGGAGUCAUAGCACUAGCGGGUCUGGGUUUAUCAUUUUUCACAUUUGGUGCUUCUUUAGCUCUUUCUGCUAUUGGUGGUGCUGUUGGAAUAGCUGGAGGAGUUACAGGUGCAACAUUUAACAUCAUUAACAUGUUCCAACAGAAUAAACGACGUGAGACUAUUGAGAAUAUCAUUAAUGCUUUCCAGAAAACAAUCAAUCCAAUGAUUGAGCAUCUGAAUACAAUUUCUAACAAAAUACAAGAGCUUCAGCAGGAGGGGCAGAACUAUUCUGUGCGUAAUAAAACAAUAAUGACAAGUGUGAGAUCAGUGAAAACCAUUUCCAGCAUUACAAAACUUUUAACUGUACUAAGAACUGCUAGCCUUGGGAAAACAGCUGCAAAAGCUGCCAAAACUCUUAAAGUGGUCGGGAAAAUUACUGGCACAAUCUCAACUCUGUUUCUCGCUCUUGAUGUUUAUAGUAUUUAUUGUGAUUCGGUAGAGAUCUCUGAAUUAAAUCAACCCGAAAAAGAGAGAAAAGCAGAAGAAAUCAAAUCAGAAACUUUAAAAUUUAUUAAUGAAAUGAAAAAAACUGCUGAUCAGUUUCAGGUGACUCUGAAUGAAAUUAAAAGUGCCAGAGACGAUAUUAACAGAGAUUUACAGUUCAGUUGAAAAUCUGCUUGAACUAAAAUCUUCCAUCUGCAUUUCAUGUGCACUGUAACGGUGGUACACCCUAGACUAGUAAACAUAUUUAAAUAAUAGUUCGGGCGCCAGACAGGUUUAAGUCUGUCAAUAUUUUAAAUUAACUAAAUUCCACAGAUAGCUCAGAAUUACCACCAAUCAUGAAUUUACAGCGUUUAAAGAAUAAUCAAACACUAAUCAACUAUAAAGAAUAAGUUAAACACUUUUCACACAUGAGAUGCAGUAGGAUGAGUUUUGUAUUGGCAUGUAUAAGACCCAAUUCACAUCAAACCAUUGCAACAUCUAUAAAAAAAAUGUCUUACUAUUAUUCUUUCACUACCGUUACAGCACUUAUGAAUACAAUCACAAAGAAAGUGUUCAGUCUUUGCAAACAGUGUUUUCUGAAUUAUACCGUAUAUGUGCUUCCCUUUUCAUUUGCUGAAAUAGUGUGGAAAAUGUACUGAAAUGUUUUUUUUUAAAGAACAUUUAUUUUGUAAUUAAAUAACUCUAUUUGUCAUAGUCUUGUUUCUUGUUUUCUGGUUCUGUAUGACUGUGGAUAAUCGCUAUUUGCAAACAGUCUUUGUAAAACUGUUUUUGAAAUUAUUUUGAAGUUGCCCGUUUUGUUGUACAUGUUACUGUAUUGUAGUGUAAAGUCAAAUUAAAGCAAGACUGCUGGUUUUCCAGCUGAUGUAAAUAUCAACACCAAAAUAUCUCUUAUGAAAUUUAGCGUGUGUGCACUCCAAAUAAAUGUAGGCUACAUCUGAUCUCAACAACAGAUUGGUCGAAGUGUGAGAUCUUUAUUACGUAAAC